This 470-nucleotide ribosomal RNA is filed under the name uncultured bacterium. Its description in RNAcentral is "bacterial SSU rRNA". It matches the Rfam family "Bacterial small subunit ribosomal RNA", at positions 23 to 518 of the family's 1533-position model. The record is from RNAcentral.
CUCAGGAUGAACGCUGGCGGCGUAGCCUAACACAUGCAAGUCGAGCGAUCUUCUUCGGAAGAGAGCGGCGGACGGGUGAGUAACGCGUGGGUAACCUGCCCUGUACACACGGAUAACAUACCGAAAGGUAUGCUAAUACGGGAUAACAUACUUUUAUCGCAUGGUAGAAGUAUCAAAGCUCCGGCGGUACAGGAUGGACCCGCGUCUGAUUAGCUAGUUGGUAAGGUAACGGCUUACCAAGGCGACGAUCAGUAGCCGACCUGAGAGGGUGAUCGGCCACAUUGGAACUGAGACACGGUCCAAACUCCUACGGGAGGCAGCAGUGGGGAAUAUUGCACAAUGGGCGAAAGCCUGAUGCAAGCAACGCCGCGUGAGCGAUGAAGGCCUUCGGGUCGUAAAGCUCUGUCCUCAAGGAAGAUAAUGACGGUACUUGAGGAGGAAGCCCCGGCUAACUACGUGCCAGCAGCGGC